Molecule: long non-coding RNA, 1329 nt
Organism: Siniperca chuatsi (mandarin fish)
Lineage: Eukaryota; Metazoa; Chordata; Actinopteri; Centrarchiformes; Sinipercidae
Exons: 5
Source: RefSeq, a predicted model, not a curated record
CAGCAGGUGGCAAGAUUCCCUCACAUGAGCUGACAGAACUACAGUCUGUAAGCUACUGAAAGGAGGCUAAACAAGAGCCAUCUGUACAACAGGAGAAAACAAGUUGGCUUCUACCAGGAGGUGAAUGACAAGGUGGAGCACCUUUAGUUAACCCAAUGGUCGUGAUUUAGGAUCGGGUUCACCAUUGUCUUACUUACUGGCAUUACCUACAGUUUGCUAACGUUAGUGCUAGCUGUGGCAGUGGCGUACAAGCUAGCUCACGUUAGAUAAUUUAGUUCGGGGCCCUGUUUCAGGUUGUUAACACUGAGAUAAGGUGAAACUCUUGGUUUUUCAGUUCCAGAAAGAGAGUCCAUAUAAAGCAAUAAUAAAUAUGUAUGUGAGUUUGUCACACCACAGAAAACUGUGUUAUUAACCACCCAGCCAAAUUUUAAUGAUUAAAAAAAUCACCAAGUAAGAAAAAUAAGUUAUCAAAAUCUUGAAAAAAUGAGCAGUAUUCUCUGCUCUCAAAUGCUUCAGGUGUGUCCACUGAGGGCGCUGAAACCACGUCCACUCGCAGGAAAGCUGCGCCCUUCUUAACUGUCAAAUAGCUACAACAAAAAUAGAUGCUCCCUCCAGCAGCUUAAUUGGAUUCACACAGCCAUACAAGUUUGAGCCUCCAGAGCCAGAAUCCAGUUCAGAGGACAAUGACCAGCUACUCGAGAAUCAACCUCGUCCCUCUCAGUCUGCAACAGAAGGGUACACCUGUGGAGAAUGCAGGACAAUGCCCACAUAGGAUGAGAAUGUCUGCUGCAAAGACCUUAAUGCUGUUCAAAAUAGAUGUGGAGAGCUUCCUGAAGAGCCACAGUGCAUGACUCUUCCUCCAGGCCUUGAGCCUGUCUGCCUGAACCCCUACUCCUUGCAAAAUGCCAUAAAAACCUACCAGGCAGACCAUGGGCCACUGGAGAUGAAGGAAAGUAAUCAUGCUCGCUACCUGGCCUACAGAUGUUUUGUUUCCUGGUGCUGGGGAUACCUGGGAAAGCACAACAGGGUUGUCAUACCUUCUUGUGUUGUGCUCCAUAUUCAUCAGGAGUACCCGGAUGAAGAAGGGGACUACACAGGCUGGUGAGGCGCUAGUGCAAGGAUGGACUGAGGCAGGAGGUAGGCUGGAGGAAGACAAAGAUGAAGAACCUUACUGUCUGUGUGAAAGGGUUUAGGUUCUUACCACAGUAGUAACAUCAGUGUGAGCUGCAUUCCAUGAGUGUGACAGGAUCUGUGUGUGAUCUGUCUCUUAACAUCACAGACAUUCACAAAGACAAACUAAGAACCUGACCUCUCAACAUACCUGUAUUC